UGAGUCCGGACCUAGCGGCGGACGGGUGAGUAAUGCUUAGGAAUCUGCCUAUUAGUGGGGGACAACAUCUCGAAAGGGAUGCUAAUACCGCAUACGUCCUACGGGAGAAAGCAGGGGAUCUUCGGACCUUGCGCUAAUAGAUGAGCCUAAGUCGGAUUAGCUAGUUGGUGGGGUAAAGGCCUACCAAGGCGACGAUCUGUAGCGGGUCUGAGAGGAUGAUCCGCCACACUGGGACUGAGACACGGCCCAGACUCCUACGGGAGGCAGCAGUGGGGAAUAUUGGACAAUGGGGGGAACCCUGAUCCAGCCAUGCCGCGUGUGUGAAGAAGGCCUUAUGGUUGUAAAGCACUUUAAGCGAGGAGGAGGCUACUUUAGUUAAUACCUAGAGAUAGUGGACGUUACUCGCAGAAUAAGCACCGGCUAACUCUGUGCCAGCAGCCGCGGUAAUACAGAGGGUGCGAGCGUUAAUCGGAUUUACUGGGCGUAAAGCGUGCGUAGGCGGCUUAUUAAGUCGGAUGUGAAAUCCCCGAGCUUAACUUGGGAAUUGCAUUCGAUACUGGUGAGCUAGAGUAUGGGAGAGGAUGGUAGAAUUCCAGGUGUAGCGGUGAAAUGCGUAGAGAUCUGGAGGAAUACCGAUGGCGAAGGCAGCCAUCUGGCCUAAUACUGACGCUGAGGUACGAAAGCAUGGGGAGCAAACAGGAUUAGAUACCCUGGUAGUCCAUGCCGUAAACGAUGUCUACUAGCCGUUGGGGCCUUUGAGGCUUUAGUGGCGCAGCUAACGCGAUAAGUAGACCGCCUGGGGAGUACGGUCGCAAGACUAAAACUCAAAUGAAUUGACGGGGGCCCGCACAAGCGGUGGAGCAUGUGGUUUAAUUCGAUGCAACGCGAAGAACCUUACCUGGCCUUGACAUACUAGAAACUUUCCAGAGAUGGAUUGGUGCCUUCGGGAAUCUAGAUACAGGUGCUGCAUGGCUGUCGUCAGCUCGUGUCGUGAGAUGUUGGGUUAAGUCCCGCAACGAGCGCAACCCUUUUCCUUACUUGCCAGCAUUUCGGAUGGGAACUUUAAGGAUACUGCCAGUGACAAACUGGAGGAAGGCGGGGACGACGUCAAGUCAUCAUGGCCCUUACGGCCAGGGCUACACACGUGCUACAAUGGUCGGUACAAAGGGUUGCUACACAGCGAUGUGAUGCUAAUCUCAAAAAGCCGAUCGUAGUCCGGAUUGGAGUCUGCAACUCGACUCCAUGAAGUCGGAAUCGCCUAGUAAUCCCCGAUCCAGAAUUCCCCCUGGAACGUU
RNAcentral lists this ribosomal RNA (1295 nucleotides) under Acinetobacter baumannii. RNAcentral describes it as "bacterial SSU rRNA". It matches the Rfam family "Bacterial small subunit ribosomal RNA", at positions 81 to 1372 of the family's 1533-position model. Lineage: Bacteria; Pseudomonadati; Pseudomonadota; Gammaproteobacteria; Moraxellales; Moraxellaceae. The record is from RNAcentral.